This 488-nucleotide ribosomal RNA is filed under the name uncultured bacterium. RNAcentral's name for it is "partial 16S ribosomal RNA". It matches the Rfam family "Bacterial small subunit ribosomal RNA", at positions 28 to 507 of the family's 1533-position model. The record is from RNAcentral.
GACGAACGCUGGCGGCGUGCUUAACACAUGCAAGUCGAACGAAAAUACCAAGCUUGCUUGGUUGAUUAGUGGCGAACGGGUGAGUAACACGUGAGUAACCUGCCCCUUACUUUCCUGGAUAACUGCUCGAAAGGGUAGCUAAUACGGGAUAUUCUGUCCAGCCUGCAUGGGUUGGUUUGGAAAGGUUGUUUUUCUGGUAAGGGAUGGGCUCGCGGCCUAUCGGCUUGUUGGUGGGGUGAUGGCCUACCAAGGCUUUGACGGGUAGCCGGCCUGAGGGUGUGGGGGGUGACAGGGGGACUGGGAAAAGGGCGAGUGUGAUACGGGAGGCAGCAGUGGGGAAUGUUGCAGAAGGGGAGAAAGCAUGAUGGAGCGACGCCGGGUGAAGGAAGGCGGCCUUCGGGAUGUAGACCUCUUUGGUGAGAGAACAAGGCACUGGUGUUUUGGUGGGGUUGAGGGUACCUGGAAAAGAAGCGCCGGCUAACUACGUG